GUGCUUGCUUCAGCAGUUUGUAUACUAAAAUUGGGAUGAUACAGAGAUUAGCAUGGCCCCUGUACAAGGAUGACACACAAAUUUGUGAGGUGUUCCAUGUUUUU
Small nuclear RNA from Nycticebus coucang (slow loris), 104 nucleotides. Lineage: Eukaryota; Metazoa; Chordata; Mammalia; Primates; Lorisidae. The record is from RefSeq and is a predicted model, not a curated record.